CGAGGCCAGGGAUUGAACCUGCAUCCUCAUUGUUACAGCAGUGUGCAGUGCCCAGAACGAUCUACCUGAGCUGCAGGCAUGUGUGUACCGUAUGGCAGGUACGCAUGUCACUAGCUCGUCGCAAGCACUCAUCACGUUGCACUCGUACGCUGUGACCAGGUGUGUUCCGGAAUCACGGUAGAAUCUCAGUGUGAGUCCAUUGGAGAGAGAUUUUUUUACUGCUGCGUGACCCUGGGAGAGUCCCCUAGGCCGAGGUCCUGGUCUGUAAAAGGGAGACUGCGUGAUUAUUGAGAGAAGGUGGCUCUAAAGCAUCCCCCGAAGCCCCUCACAGAGUUCACCCCGCCUGGUCUCACCUUGCCCUGAGAAGCUGGCCGAGCUGGGCUCCAGCCUCCCACUCCCCAGGAAGGGAAGAGUCUGGAGCCCGUGGUGGUCAAGGGUAGCUGAGAGAGACUUGUCUGCGGGGAAGGAGCUGGGAGGCCCAGUGGGGGCGGGGGGCUGCCUCUGUGGGCUCCCUGCCUUCCCUCCCUCCUGGCCGGGGCUCCUUCCAGGGCUCUGCUGAUUGGGCACCAGGACCAGGGCCUUACCCUGGCUCUCCCAGGGACUGGGGCCAGGACAGGGCACAGGAAAGCCUGGGGAAGGGCAGGACUGGGGCCUCUGGGCCUGCCUUCUCCAGAGCUGUCUUCCCUCAGGGGCAGCGGGCCCUCCAUGGACCUCAGGGGCCCUGGGGUUGCUCUGCCUCCUCCCGGACCUGUGGCUGUGCGCCAGCCCAGAGCUCGGCUUCCUCCCCUGGGUCUCCCAUGCCUGCUGCUCACUCAGGGCUCCUCCUGCCUUUCAACUUCUGCUCCCACCACCACCUCCAGCAUUGUCUCCCUGUCCCCAGUCCAAAUUCCUGGGCAGAUCAGCUGGCCAGCUGGCCUGCUUGGGCAACGACUCAAGCGCAGCCAGGCCGGCAGCACGGCCAGCCCACAGGCUUGUCCCCACGGGUGGGCCGCCCAUCCUGCCCUGUCCUGGCCAGCUGGGGCUUCGGUGAGGUCAGGGCCAUCCUGCUUUGAUUCCCCGGGAAGGGAAGGGGUAUGGGCAGCAUGAUGGAUAUGUCCACAUCCCCUCUCCUUGCCUGAUGCUCCGGGCAACACCUCGGCUCGCCCCCGGCACCCUCCUCCUCCCCACCUUGGCGCCUUUGCGCACAGCUUGCCUUCUGCCUGGAGUGCUCCCCCCUCUGUCCUCUCAGCUCAGGUGCCACCUCCGCCACGGAGUCCUCCCAGGUCACCACAAACAUCACCUCUCCUUUCAUGGACCACUGCAUCCUCUGCCCCACUUUGUUGCAUGAGUGUGGCAGACAGAGUAACGAUGCUCCAGAGACGUCCCUGUCCUAAUUCCUGGUCCUGUGAAGAUGUGACUGUGCACGUGGAGAAAGGGACUUUGCAGAUGCCAUCAACUUACGGACCUGGAGAGGGAACGUAUACUCUGGAUUAUCCAGGAGAGCCCAAGGUAACAAGUGCCUUUAUUUUUUUUUUUUUCUUUUUCCAGCCACAAUUGUGGUCUAUGGAAGUUCCUAGGCUAGGGGUCAAAUUGAAGCUGCAGCUGCUGGCCUACGCCACAGUCACAGCAACGCAGGAUCUGAGCCACGUCUAGGUUGGGUUCUUAACCCGCUGAGCCUCAGCGGGAACUCCCACAGGUGUCUUUAUAAGAGGGAAGCAGGAGGGUAAGUGAGUCAGCAAAGGAGGUGUGAUGACAGAAGCAGAGGUGAGAGAGCCACAUUGGAAGGCAGAGGGAAUGGCCACGAGGCAGGGACAGCGGGUACUUCUAGAAGCCGGAAAAGCCGAGGAAACAGAUUCUUCCCUGGAGCCUCCAGAAGGAACCGGCCCUGCCAACACCUUGAUUUUAACUCACGGGGCUCAUAUCCGCCCUCUGACCGCCAGGCCUGUAAGAGAAUAAACGUGUGCUGUUUAGAGCCAUGAGACGUGCAGCAUUUUGUUACUGCAGUGGUGGAACAGAGACAAUUAGCACCCGUUGGGUUGCGCCUUGGCUGGGAUGUCAGCUCCUGGGAAGGCCUGUGCCGUGGACAUCUUUACACAUCCUUGUGCAUAUUUAUAAAAUGCCUGCUUACGACUGCGUCC
Molecule: non-coding RNA, 2117 nt
Organism: Sus scrofa (pig)
Lineage: Eukaryota; Metazoa; Chordata; Mammalia; Artiodactyla; Suidae
Source: RefSeq, a predicted model, not a curated record